Molecule: microRNA precursor, 102 nt
Filed under: Ciona savignyi (Pacific transparent sea squirt)
Lineage: Eukaryota; Metazoa; Chordata; Ascidiacea; Phlebobranchia; Cionidae
Description: let-7d stem-loop (csa-let-7d)
Gene: csa-let-7d
Rfam family: let-7 microRNA precursor family (bases 10-81)
About the family: This family represents the microRNAs (miRNA) let-7 and mir-98. let-7 was identified from a study of developmental timing in C. elegans, and was later shown to be part of a much larger class of non-coding RNAs termed miRNAs. The extents of the hairpin precursors are not generally known and are estimated based on hairpin prediction.
Source: miRBase by way of RNAcentral
GAGGCUAUUCACAGAUGAGGUAGUUGGUUGUAUUGUUUUACACCUUCGGCGAUAACUAUACAGCCAGCUAACUUUACUGUGGUUGCUAAAUAUCGUCCAGCA